AGUGAACGCUGGCGGUAUGCCUAACACAUGCAAGUCGAACGGCAGCACAGUAAGAGCUUGCUCUUACGGGCGUAGAGUGGCGGACGGGUGAGGUAUACAUCGGAAUCUACCUUUUCGUGGGGGAUAACGUAGGGAAACUUACGCUAAUACCGCAUACGACCUACGUGUGAAAGCAGGGGAUCUUCUGACCUUGCGCGAUUGAAUGAGCCGAUGUCGGAUUAGCUAGUUGGCGGGGUAAAGGCCCACCAAGGCGACGAUCGGUAGCUGGUCUGAGAGGAUGGUCAGACACACUGGAAGUGAGACACGGUACAGACACCGACAGGAGGCAGCAGUGGGGAAUAUUGGACGAUGGGGGCAAGCCUGAUCCAGCCAUACCGGGUGGGUGCAGAAGGACUUCGGGUGGUAGAGCGCUUUUGUUGGGAAAGAAAAGCAGCAGGUUAAUACGCGGCUGUUCUGACGGUACCCGAAGAAUAAGCACCGGCUAACUUCGUG
Molecule: ribosomal RNA, 492 nt
Filed under: uncultured bacterium
Lineage: Bacteria
Description: partial 16S ribosomal RNA
Rfam family: Bacterial small subunit ribosomal RNA
Source: RNAcentral